AUAGUAAUGCAUAAAAAAGAGAAAGUUAAUUCGCAUACUCAUAUCCUUUUCAGGAUCAUUCAUGAUAAAAUAGCAUUCGCAUCAUAUGCAUAUCAUGCACAUAUCAUCCUUGCAUUGCAGACAUGCUUGGGAGAGACUUCUCACUUUGGGUUUUGACUGAGAGAGGAUUGUUGAUCAUCGUCCGCACCGCUACUCAACCAAACUCAAUC
This 209-nucleotide long non-coding RNA is filed under the name Lathyrus oleraceus (garden pea). RNAcentral's name for it is "Pisum sativum (pea) long non-coding RNA (PSAT_LNC015596)". The record is from RNAcentral. Lineage: Eukaryota; Viridiplantae; Streptophyta; Magnoliopsida; Fabales; Fabaceae.